UCCGGUGGCCAUAGCGCCGGGGCCACACCCGAUCCCAUCCCGAACUCGGUAGUUAAGCCCGGCAACGCCGAUGAUACUACGUGGGCGACUGCGUGGGAAAGUAGGACGCCGCCGGAU
Non-coding RNA from Desulfobacca sp. RBG_16_58_9, 117 nucleotides. The record is from Rfam. NCBI's taxonomy places the organism in Bacteria, Pseudomonadati, Thermodesulfobacteriota, Desulfobaccia, Desulfobaccales, Desulfobaccaceae.